CAGUCCCGCGGUAAUACGUAGGGUGCGAGCGUUAAUCGGAAUUACUGGGCGUAAAGCGUGCGCAGGCGGUUCGUUAAGACAGAUGUGAAAUCCCCGGGCUUAACCUGGGAACUGCAUUUGUGACUGGCGAGCUAGAGUAUGGCAGAGGGGGGUAGAAUUCCACGUGUAGCAGUGAAAUGCGUAGAGAUGUGGAGGAAUACCGAUGGCGAAGGCAGCCCCCUGGGCCAAUACUGACGCUCAUGCACGAAAGCGUGGGGAGCAAACAGGAUUAGAGACCCGAGUAGUCCCUGUCUCUUAUACA
RNAcentral lists this ribosomal RNA (301 nucleotides) under uncultured bacterium. Its description in RNAcentral is "partial 16S ribosomal RNA". It matches the Rfam family "Bacterial small subunit ribosomal RNA", at positions 512 to 808 of the family's 1533-position model. The record is from RNAcentral.